UGAACGCUGGCGGCGUGCCUAAUACAUGCAAGUCGAACGCGCAGCGAAAGGUGCUUGCACCUUUCAAGCGAGUGGCGAACGGGUGAGUAACACGUGGAUAACCUACCUCAAGGUUGGGGAUAACAUUUGGAAACAGAUGCUAAUACCGAAUGAGACGAGUGAUCGCAUGAUGACUGGUUAAAAGGCGCUACGGCGUCGCCUAGAGAUGGAUCCGCGGUGCAUUAGUUAGUUGGUGGGGUAAAGGCUUACCAAGACAAUGAUGCAUAGCCGAGUUGAGAGACUGAUCGGCCACAUUGGGACUGAGACACGGCCCAAACUCCUACGGGAGGCUGCAGUAGGGAAUCUUCCACAAUGGGCGAAAGCCUGAUGGAGCAACGCCGCGUGUGUGAUGAAGGCUUUCGGGUCGUAAAGCACUGUUGUAUGGGAAGAACAGCUAGAGUAGGGAAUGACUUUAGUUUGACGGUACCAUACCAGAAAGGGACGGCUAAAUACGUGCCAGCAGCCGCGGUAAUACGUAUGUCCCAAGCGUUAUCCGGAUUUAUUGGGCGUAAAGCGAGCGCAGACGGUUGAUUAAGUCUGAUGUGAAAGCCCGGAGCUCAACUCCGGAAAGGCAUUGGAAACUGGUCAACUUGAGUGCAGUAGAGGUAAGUGGAACUCCAUGUGUAGCGGUGGAAUGCGUAGAUAUAUGGAAGAACACCAGCGGCGAAGGCGGCUUACUGGACUGUAACUGACGUUGAGGCUCGAAAGUGUGGGUAGCAAACAGGAUUAGAUACCCUGGUAGUCCACACCGUAAACGAUGAACACUAGGUGUUAGGAGGUUUCCGCCUCUUA
Molecule: ribosomal RNA, 831 nt
Filed under: uncultured Leuconostoc sp.
Lineage: Bacteria; Bacillati; Bacillota; Bacilli; Lactobacillales; Lactobacillaceae
Description: bacterial SSU rRNA
Rfam family: Bacterial small subunit ribosomal RNA
Source: RNAcentral